GCGGUCAGGCUUCCGCUGGGUCCUAACGCCAGGAAAGUCUCAGUGGAACCUCAGCGCCCCCUAGCUGCUGCCCCGCGUCAGCGCCUCGCCCUUUGCCCGAAGACCAGGCGUUUGAGAGCGGUCCUCCUUCCAGAGCACAUCCGCAGGCUUCCAAGGGUUAGGCUAACCUAACGCGUGCUGUCUCCGUGCCAAGCGGCAGUUUUCCCGGCCUCAAUUAGUAUUAGCCACCUUGUCGCCUCUUGGCUGUUCUGAGGAUCAAAUGGGCUGAGGUUUGUGAAAAGCGUCUCGUAAACCGUGAAGUGCGCUGUGCGAGUUUAAGGCAUUAUUCGUCCUGACACUUUCUCAACUCUGAUCGGAUUUCCUCACCUCCUGGAGGUGGAAAUGGAAGCUCACCGAAGUGGCUUUUCUCCAGGGUCUUAUGCAUCCCCAGCAAUGGGCCUGCCACCCUCCAGAUUCUUUCCCAUUAAAGGACCGCCUUUUUGGACCCCUCCCUCACCCAAGUGUCGGGCCUGCAUCAAGAGCUAGGGCAAGACCCCAGGGCUUUCCACUACAACCCCCAAGUGCCACUUAAUCAAUGGACUCUGGGCUGCUAUCUGGGUAGAGCCUCCUCUGCUUCUAACAGCUCACUCCUUUGGCACAGCCUCAGGCAAAGGAAGGAAACUCAGGGCAGCACCACACCCAUCACUCCGGGCCUGACUCACUAAGGCUUUGGGGGUAGGCCAAACAUCUUUGGGGGGGGGGAGUAAGAGAAAGAAGACAGGGUCUGUCUUCAAACCCCUGUCUCCUUUCUAUUAAUGAGGGCCCCCCCCCACACACACACACAGUUUGCUCUCUCGCCCUGUGGCUUAUUCCACUGAAUCAGCCUGUGAUUCCAGGGCACCAAACAGUAGCUGGGGUGAGAGACCUAGGUUCCAGUCCCCGCCCUGCCUCUUCACCAGCUGGGACUUCAAACAAUUCUCUUGACCUCUGAGUCAAGUUUCCUCAUCUGAAAUUAAUGGGAAAAUACUAACAAGCAGGAGAGCGCUGUGGUCAGAAGCAUGGGCACCGGAUUCAAAUGAUCUGCUUCCCAAUCUUAGCUCCCCCACUUUGUAUCUUUGGGGUGAGGCUAUACAAUCUUUCUGUCUUUCUCUCAUUAGUACAGUGGGAUUUAUCCAGUUCUCUCGCUCUGUGUGUUGUUGCGAUAUUUCGGUAAGAUUUCGGGUCAAGCACUUAACAGGGUUUCUGAUGCUCACCGAGCCAAUGCCUACAGGGAUAGCCUGCCUUAGGAGCUUGUCUUGCGGUCUUACAAGAUAGGUGCGAUUGUAGUUAUUACAACUGCUCUUGGGGUAGUCAACUUUCCGCCCCUCCAGUAGGGAUCGGAUGCCAGGUGAUAAUGUUUGUAAAUUGCAAAGCGCCAUCGGAAUGUUGGGGUGGCUGUUUCCCUUUCCCCUCAAAGCUGCUGAGCUCUUACAGGUGCAGCACGAUAAAGCUGAGAGGCUGCAAACCCCUCUGUGUUGUGGGUACUCAGGAGGUGGAAUGCUCCAGAAAAGCCAAAGCUUCCCUAAAACUGCGCCCAGAGUUUCAGCCUGCUUGCCAUUCUCUCGUCUUGUUCCCCUGGCUGGUGCAAGGAGCACCCACGAUGUCAAACUUGGUCCCCCUUGCGUCCUCUCUGAAACCCACUCUCUCUAGGGAGCUUUUCCGGACUCAUCCCCACUGACUUCCGGCUUCCCCACUGACUCCUUCACCCCACCUCCACCACACCCUUCAUCUGGACAGCCUUUCUACGGACCCGCUGCUUAGACGUCCGUGUAAAGAAUCCAAGCCUAGUGACCUGAGGACAGGAACACUGUCCAUCCACACAACGCCCACAUCCAUGUAACAUCCGCAUUCUUACAUGUUCAGUAAAGACCCCUCUUGAAGAUAAGCAGGAAAUGAUCAAUAUAAUACCUCCAAUCUCUAUCUCAUUCCCUCCCCCCUCCCACCCCCCCCAAAUCAUGUCUAACAGAACCUCAGGCUGCUGGGAAUACUUAUUUAUUUGGUCUAUUAACACCAAGAUCUGCAAAAAAACAACUUCUAAACACAGGAUAAGAAAACUUGAACAUUAACAUUCUUCGAUUUCGCGUAAGCUCUGCGGUACGGAAAAUAUACAAACUUCAAACAGCUGCAAAAAUAGUGUCUUUGGGAGAAAAUAGAGUUUCUACAUCGAUACAAGAAAAAUAGGCAUUUUUCUAAUCCAACCCAGUCCUGGGGCAGGUGGAGGGUGGAGGGUCGCCACUUGCCACCUGGAGGAAUGCCAGCUGUCCCUCUCCCCCACUGCCCACCUGGGGCUGGGCAAGCCGGGCCGCUGCUUAAGACAAUCUUAGGGUGAAAGCGAGAUGAAAAUGCCACUUGGGAAAACGCUUGGUUCCCAUCUCUGCCAGCAGCUGCAUUGGUCAAGUGUUCUGGCCCUUGAGGGCUGCUUUGGUCGGCUCCUCCAAUGAGAGGGAGGCAUGGGGAGGGGGGUAUAUAUCUUCACGUCUCCUCCUCCGUGUCCGGGGGGUGGGGGGAGAGGGAAGGACAUCUGUGGGGUCCCCUCUCCUUCGAUCAUGGGCAGCUUGCUCCAUGACAAGGUCAAGGGCGCCAUAUACAGCCCUUUGGACUCACACCCAGGGGUGGGGGACCCAAAACCUUCGGGGGUGAGUUUUCCACCAAGUGAGAGAGGCGGCAAGAACACAGGUGUGACUUGUGAGCUGCCCAGCUGCUAGUGGAGAAGGCAGGUCCCCUCACAUUCGGAGGGGCCGGUGUCCGCCAGAAAGAGGACCCGGGGCUUUGACACGAUAAAUGAAAGUGCUCGAAGGCCGGAAGGGAAGGGCUCCUUCAUCCCCCACCUCAGGGGAGCUAGGGAGGGGCCUGCCACCAAGGCACUGGUCUCCAUGGCGAAGUGAUGGGGUCAGGGCCCUCAGACCACCAGGGAACUCUGGAAAAGCACAGGCUCUUCUGAUGGCGGGGUGCGCUGCCACGGCUCGAAUGGCAGCGAGGAGGCUUUGGUGGCCUCUGGAUCCUUCCGAGGCGGUGGCCUGGGGCUGGCAGGGGGAAGGGGGGACCCCGGGCUCGAGGGGCAGUUGCGGAAAAUGAAGCCCAUGCUGGGGAAGAGGGGCUUCAUCAAGCUGACGGGGCAGAAGGCCGAGCCGGUCGGGUUGAAAUGAACUUUGUUCUUGUCAGGACAGGAAGUCAGGAAGGCCAGGUCAGGGCCUGGGGACCUGGAGGACGGAGAGAGAAACACACACACACAGGGAGAGAAACAGCUAGUGAGAAGGGAUGGGGGCAUCAGGGGAACUGGGUCUCUGUUCAAACGGGAGAAAACUACAGGCUACUAAGCCAGUCUUUAGGCCCUCCGCUCUCCAUUUAUUAGGAAUAGGGUUAAACCACAGGAAAUCUACUUUAUCUAGAAACAGGAGGGAUUAAAGCUAGACCGGAAGGAGAACUUCCUCACGAUGUGAUUUCUGAAGAGGAAACCAAGGGAUCUUUUCUAAAAAAAAUUUUUCUAAUAUUUAUUUUUGAGAGAGACAGAGACAGAAUGCGAGUGGGUUAGGGGCAGAGAGAGAGGGAGACACAGAAUCCAAAGCAGGCUCCAAGCUGUCAGCACAGAGCCUGACGCGGGGCUCGAACUCACGAGCCGUGAGAUCAUGACCUGAGCCGAAGUCGGACGCUCAACUGACUGAGCCACCCAGGCGCCCCCCAAGGGAUCUUUUAAUUUGAGAGAUUUUAUCAGUAAGCAGUGUUUUGGGGGCAGGCCACUUGCCCAAAAGCAGAGACCCAGGCAAAGUGAUUUUCUAAGACUUUUUGUAGUCUAAAGCAGGGUUUCUCAGCAACAGCGCUAUGGAUGUGUGGGGCUGGGUAAUUCUUGGUGGCAGGGAGCUGUCCUGAGCCUUGUAGGAUGCUUACCCGCAUCCCUGGGCCCUACCCACCAGGUACCAGGAGCACCUGUGCCCCCCUUAGGCUGUGACAACCAAAAAUGUUUCCUGACAUUGCCAAAUGUCCCCUGGCGGGGGGGGGGAGGGGGGAUGUCCCCCACUGAAAUCUACUGACCUAAAGAAUCUCAUUUUUGAACACAUUUGAAAGGUGUGAUUUUUUUCAAAGCCCUUGCUGAGAGGCAAGGGUAACAACCGUCUGGAGAAGGCAGCCCGACCUUAAUAGGAGGUCUGGGCUCUAACUCACCACGCGGUCCUGACCCGCCUAUCUCACCUUUAAUGUGGAAACCACCGUCCCCACCCUUUUGGUCAUGUGGAGGAAACGGAAGGAUAAAAGGAGUGAGGUCAGGGAGUUCUAGAGUAAGGAAUCCUUAUGAUAAAGAAGAUCCAAGGAUGGGGGUGCCCGGGUGGCUCAGUUGGUUGAGCGUCCAACUUCAGCUCAGGUCAUGAUCUCGUGGGUCGUGAGCUCGAGCCCCGCGUCGGGCUUUCUGCCGUCAGUGCACAGCCUGCUUUGGAUCCUCUGUCCCCUCUCUCUCUGCCCCUCUCCCUCUCCUUCUCCCUCUCUCUCUCUCUCUCUCUCUCAAAGACCCAUGGGAAGGCCUGCGGUCCCUGGGGAGUCCACAGCGGCAAGGUAUCCCCCCGACCAAGAAGGGUUGAAAAGAAUCGGUGUGUGCACGCACACUUAGGGAUGGCGACCCAGGAGACCGAGCACCCCUCAAAGGACAUGAGGGCAUGACCCUGAAGGGCUUGAUUCCCCCUCUUCCCUGGGAAAUCCAGGCCAUCUUAUAGGAUCAGCAGCUAGGAAAAGGAGAACGUGGCAAAAGAAUUGCUAAACACAGGGACUUCCCAAUAGGAAAGUUGAUAACAAUGAAAAGGCCGCCAGGAGCUGGGAAUUUCUACCCCAGGGCAUCCCGGAAAGCAUUCAGUGGGUCACCGCCUCUCUGAAAGGGUUAACGCAGGGGCAGGACGCCGCAGGACAUGACUUUAAGACCUCUGCUGGCAUCAUGAGUCCAUGGAAGGAUCAGGACAGGCACCAGCCUUAUUUCCACAAGCAACCCCAGCUCAGAGUUGCUCAAGUAUACUCAGCAGGCUGAAGCACCUGCUUCAGCCGCGAGGUGUGGCCCUCUUCCUCCACACCACCCCUGGGGACCCAGGGUUCUUGGAGAGGUACCAAGGCAACAGUGAUGCUGGGAGAAAAACCCAGGGGGGAGGGGGGGCUGUGGUUUUCUCCAUAAUUCCCACUCCGGCUUAUAGAUGGGCCCCUGCCGCUACCAUGGACUGUCAAACGUGAACGGAGCUCUCAAGUCUCAAACCCUGUCCUAGCUACAUCUUGGCUCACACGCCAUGACUUAAAUCUUCCUGAGAAUCUGCCCCACUGACGAUGAAACUGGCAGGGGGGAAUGAAAUGAGCUCUUAGGGCACCUGCUAAGGGGCAUAUGGAAAGGUUUGGCCCUCUCUGCUAAUGGGAGGGAGCAGAAGUCCAUCAACAUCAGAAUGGGAAGGGGGGUGAAGAGGAGAGAGGGAAACAGACCACAAGAGACUCUUAAGGAUAGAGAACAAACUGAGGGAGGUGGGUGGGGGGUGGGCUAGAAGGGGGAUGGGAAUUAAGGAGGACACGUGUUGUGAUGAGCACUGGGCGUUGUAUGUAAGCGAUGAAUCGCUGAAUUCUACUCCUGAAACCAAUACUGCACCGCGUGUUAACUAACUAGAAUUUAAAUUAAAAAAAAAAAAAUCAGCACCAGAAUGGCUUCUGAGUUGUCCAACCUGGGUCGGGACAAUUCCAUAGUCCAUCCUUGCAAGGACUGGACAUUUCUGUCUGGGAGUUCAUGACACUCGAACCACUGCAGCCACAGGGUGAAGACUUGACUCAGAAGCCAUUAGGAGGCCGUUUGGGGGACUGUCACUGCGGUGGGGACAAGACACCUCGCCUCUCUGCCUGAGAGAACUGGUAUGUUCUCUCUCUCUCUCUCUCUCUCUCUCUCUCUCUCUCCCAUUACUGUCUAGCAAGCUCACGCCUUCUGCGGGGAUGGAAAAAAAAUAGAAGAAACAAAGGGUUUAGGUUUCAGAUCUGUUUCCUUUCCACCUCCUGCAGCACUUGUGGCUGGCAUGUGGGCAGAGAGCAGGUUUCCAUGGAGAUAACGAUAAGCAAAGAUUGAAGGGCUCAGAGUAGGUAAUGUCAACAAGUUUGAUGGUGGAAAAAGUGCAAUACCAAUCAUCUGAAGUUGACAACGUCCCCGGGACAGAGAGUCCAAGACCGAAGAAGAGCCAGUCGGGUGGGACGGUGCAGGGGCUCCCCGCCUUCCCCAGCCCGCCCCAGCCCGCCCCUGCCUGCCCCUGCCUGCCCCUGCCCGCCCUGUCCACAGCAGGUACUCACGUGGCCUCUUCAAACACACGUACUCUCUCGCAGCCUUCCGGGGGCUCCCGCUUAAAGACGUAGCUGUGAUUGGGCCGAGGGGAGGCGGCAAAGGCAAGGACUGGAGAUGGGCUGCUGUCUUCAAGGCAGGCUGGGUGGCCCGGAGAGGAGGCUGCAAACAGAGCAAGGCUGAGCCCAGUGGAGCUGAAGGAAAGGAAGGUCUCCGCUUCCCUGGGCUCAGGCCUCGGUGGAAAGAGGCGACACUGGCAGACGCGGUGAGGGGGCCGGUGGCCGUUAUGCUAAUCCCGGCCGUCCGUCCGUCCUCUCCCUUAGAACAUCUUUGAGGUGGCCUACCAAAGUCCGUAUCUCUUUGUACGGGAUUAAAAAAUGUACAGCUGAGUGGAUGGAAAAACCAGGUCUGUUAUCAAUUCUGGAUUCCCAGGAGGUAGCCUGCAACUGGGGCUCCAAGUCUGACUUUAAAGAAUCCUAACUUCCAUCUCCCCAUGUUCCUCCAAGACUACCCUGCCCUUCUGCGAAUGUGCCACAGCUGCUUCCUCACCAUGGUCUGGAAAAGCUACCCCCUCUUCCAGGAAGAGCUCCUGUGCCGACUCAGAGAAGCCAUCGUCACUCAACCCCGCUGGUGGGAUAAGAUUCCUCUCCCUUUCCACGCGGCGAAUGUACUUUGCCUAGGCUGCAAAUAUUGACCUUAUCUGUAUUUAUCUCACGUUUAUUCCUUAUUACCCUCUGCUCUGUUUACCUCUGUGUAUUGUUAGGUCAUGCCCUUGACCAGCCUCCCUCACGGGGUGCUGCGAGGACCCAACCCGGUGAGGCAGUUCCUCGGGGCUCUAGGACAGGACGAUCAUUAUCGCAGGGAGGAAGGGCUUGGGUCUCGCCCUCCCGUAAAGGUUCCGGGACACAGGACCAAGUGGAGAUCUGGAGUCAGAAAGCUGGGGUUUCAAUCUGGGUCCGUGUGACCCUGGGGGCAAGAGACCAGCUAAGCUUAUUUUAGAUCUUUCGCAACCACCUUGAGACCUGUUGCUGGUGAUGUGCACGGUGGACCCCCGAACGGGCUCAGCAUCCUGAGCCUUCGCCAAAAAAUGAGGAUGGGAGACACUGCUUGCCCGGGUCACAGUCAGAAGGAAAUACAAGUGCAGGUGCGGAGACUUGAUAUAAAUUAUAAAUCAGAAUCUGGGGGCGCGUGGCUGGCUCAGUCGGUUAAGCAUCCCACUUCGGUUUCGGUCGUGAUCUCACGGUUCGCGGGUUCGAGCCCCGCGUCGGGCUCUGGGCUGACAGCUCAGAGCCUGGGGCCUGCUUCGGAUUCUGUGUCUCCCUCUCUCUCUGCCCCUCCCCUGCUCAUGCUCUGUCUCUGUCUCUCUCUCUCUCUCAAAAAUAAAUAAACGUUAAAAAAAAAUUUUAAGAACAAUCAGAAUCUGUGCGGGAGGACCGUUAUUACUACCGGUGUCACAUAUAGGAUAAAAAUGGUUCACGAAGAUAUUCUGGUCGGUUAGGAAGGAGAACUCCCAGGCGUGAAAUUGAUUAGAGGUAUAGAAAGGGCGUGGAGCCUCCCCCACCCCCCCGUACCUCACGUGGGCCCUUCUGCCCCAGCCUCCUCAGCUUACCUUUGUCGUUGGGGACGGACGCCAGCUCCUCGCCUGCACCCCGGUGUUCCUCACGGCUGGCCUGGCCCGAAGGCUGGGGGGAUGCCAGGGGCACGGAGGGAGAGCUGGCAAGGUUGCCAGGCUCCAGGAGGAGGAGGGGGUGGUCACAGCUGCCGCUNUGCCGCUCUGGGGGGGAGCUGGGGCGCGGUGCCCAUCAGGAAUAUCAAGGAUCUGCGGGGGAAGAGGGUGGGAAAGGACCCUCAGGCCCCCGUCUUCAGGCCAACAGAGCUGCGGUGACCCUUCAGGCCCUCCCCUCGGUUGGUCUGUCCUCUAUUCGUCACACACAGCGACAGCAGGACAUGGUUUUCUUAAGUCACUGACUUAAGGGAAAGCCCUUGCUAGGUCUGAAAACAGCACAUGUGGCCCAAUUUAGAAUUACGCGUUUGUUUGUAUGGUUUCCUCAAGGUGAGGCCCCCACCAGGCUCUAAGCCUCGAGGGCAGGGGCCUCCUCCGGAUACACGAAGAUGAUGAACGUUCGGGAAGCACGACGGGGGGCAGACCACCGGGCCACUGACCACGCGAGCCAGGGCAGGACAAGCACGCACGUUAUGAUCACGUAGAAUAUACCCCCGCCUCGCUUUUUAACUAUCAGUGGUACUUGGACCCGCAGCUCACCAAACUGUGUGUGUGUCUGGGUGGGUCUAAAAUCCCACAUACGCGUAAAUUAAAAAUCAACUAGCAAGUAACUCAUAAACUGAGGUGUGUGCCCGUUAGAAUUAUAUUAAUACUGCCCAACUGGCAUUCUCUGAUUGCACUGUGUCAGUAUAAAAAUGUGCCUGAGACUGCAGAAAAGGUAGCAAAUAAUUCUGCCCGGAAGUGAGGGGGGGGGGCGGGGGGGGAGGAUGGGGAGGCUGCACAGGGGCAACUAAGCAUAUGAAGGAUGAAUGUGGGUCACCAGGUGGACGUGGGGGGAGAGGUGAUGACACUCCUGAGGCACGGGUGGGGACAGUGAUGGGAUGGCGACGAGGGAGCAGGGAGCUGGUGCCAUGGCUGAAGAGCGAUGCCCAGCCCCUUCCCCCUGGCUGGGGAGCCCCCUCUCUCCACCCAGCCCGGCCCCUUCCCUUUCCACUCAGCCCCCCAAAGCCUGCCCCAGCCGCACCGCCCAGCUCCGCCGUCCUGAAGGCCAAGCCCAUUUGAGCGUAACAGACUCCAUUUGUGUUCCUCGCGCAGGCUGGUGUUCGCACUGCUCUGUUGAGGUCUCCGUGGUCCGGAGCCCCCGGAGAGCAAAAGUCCGCCCCCCGACCCCGGGCCACUGGCUGUCCCGCGUCAAGGGCGUGCCCCACUCACCCGCAACAGCUCCUCUUCUCCCUGUUCCUUCACAAACACCUCCUCCAGCUCUUGGUUGAGCCCUUCCAGGCUCCGGUGCAGGCAGGGGCUGAGUCGCAGGACAGGUGACCCUGAGGGGAAGCUGGGAGGGGACGCCUGAGGAGGAGGCAGAUGAAGGAAUCACGGACCCCCC
Molecule: long non-coding RNA, 9399 nt
Filed under: Lynx pardinus (Iberian lynx)
Lineage: Eukaryota; Metazoa; Chordata; Mammalia; Carnivora; Felidae
Source: RNAcentral